AAUUUUCCACUACAGCCAACCACAGAUGCAGCACAUUAAAGAUGCACCAAGAGGUGUGGGUUCACUUAAUCAUGAUUUAGGGAAAUAUGGAGGAAUGUCCCCGACCUAAUUUUGUUUAAUUUCUUAAGGUUCGGUCUGGGGAUAGGCAUAUACCUUUCUCUCAUCACAUGACAUUGAUCACCAUUAUUCCCAAGACAAUAUUUAUUGUGAAUGCUGGUGAAUUGAUGGAAUGCAAUAGUAAGGUGAGCUAAUGGGCACUUUAUGAAUCUCAUGAUUUGUUCACUAGAACAUAAGCCAACUAGACGGGUAAAAAAUAAAAAAACAAACCACAAGAAAUAAAAAUGAAACCUAAUAAGGCGGAAAGCUUUUGCAAACGCUGUUACCAACUCCCCAUAGCUCGAUGUUUAAUGAAUAAACCUCCCUAAAUUGGAAAGACGAAAACCCUACACCUAAUGCAGGAAGUAUUUCGGAGUAUUUCAACAGACAAAAACUCAUCUAUGAAUAAAGAAUUAAAAGCAAUGAGUUAAAGAAUGUUAAAGUGCAAAUCAAGUGGAACACAAGGGGUUAUUCUGAGAAGGGGUGUGGAUUACAACCAAACCACGCAAAAACAUUCAAAUGCCCAACAGGACAAAACAAGUAUUUAGGAAAUGAGGCAGACGGCACCACCAAAGACGAAACCACAUGUACAAUUU
Molecule: non-coding RNA, 692 nt
Organism: Pelobates cultripes (western spadefoot toad)
Lineage: Eukaryota; Metazoa; Chordata; Amphibia; Anura; Pelobatidae
Source: the annotation of a GenBank genome assembly